Long non-coding RNA from Gadus morhua (Atlantic cod), 1674 nucleotides. Lineage: Eukaryota; Metazoa; Chordata; Actinopteri; Gadiformes; Gadidae. The record is from Ensembl.
GUUGUGACUGCUGGAAUAAGAGGAGGCUGGGGGCUGCGGACGGUGGGCCAGGAAUGGAGAGGCCAAAUACAUCCAUGGCAAUCAGUAAGCCGGUUGGCAGUGGCCUAGAUGUUAUGACCUCAGCUCAUGGCAUGAGGGAAGGUUGCUGUCCAGACCCAUGGCCUCUCUUUCCAGCUGUGCCACUACAUUGGAGGACUGCAUGAGGGAAUCACUCGUCUGAGAACGGAACAGCUGCUCCACGUUCUGCAGGAGAGUGAACACCUCAUCGGAUGGACGCUAUAAUGCUCCCCUUUUAAAUUAUUUUAAUUCAAGUAAUACAGCUCUCUCACUUGCGGUGUUGGUGACUUUUUCCACCAGUGCACACUUGCAUUCCUCACAGAGUGAGAAGCCGAUAACCCUCUUCACUAUGUAUCCUGCCAGGUGGUAGAGGACACAGGACUCGGUCUUUGUCAUGUUGGGUGGUGAUGGGUCUACCAGCUGCUUCACUCUCACAACCUCAGAAGCACUGCAGCUGCUGUUCUGGGUGUCCAGGAAGUCCGCCAAGUGGUCUGAUGCAUCAUCCAGAUCUUGCUGGACCUCCAGAAUUGUUGUUGUGGCCAUCACCAGUCCAGUCUGGACUGGUUUCCAGCUGCCCUGGGGACCGAUCUUCAGGCCCGGAAAAAGAUGGAUCGAGUUGCGGAGGAAGCUGAUGGCCUUUUCAUACUCUUCCAUCUUGAAAUGACUGAGGGCACAAACAACAUUGCGGGAUGACAUGAGGUCAAACCAGUGGUCCAUCUUCUCCAAAAACCAUGACGUUGUAAGGCUCCAGGACACCUCUGGACAGAUUGGGUGCCAGCUUAAGUGCCAUGCCCUCCUGGAAGGACACCAGAUCCUUUUAAGGGGGCAGCAGAGACUUCACUCGAUGCCAGCUGCUCCUUUUCCACCACAUCCUGUGGUAUGGUGAUGAUGUGACCACGGACAAUGGCACUCUUCAAGUUCUUGACGAGAUGAGGAACGUCAGGCAUGAAAUGGAGGCGCUGGCUUGGCUCAACAGGAUGCUGGAUCCAUGGCUUGUCGUAGGUCACCCCAAAGGACUUCCACAUUGCUCUAUUGGGGCUCCCCAUGUUUGUGGUGAUGUUCAGUACAUGAAGCCCUACAGAUGCCGCUGCUUCAACAAUGUUGAUUAUGAUGGGCCGGUAAACUGCUCCAUUGGUGGAAUUGCCACUAUAGUGGUAAGCCACAACUUGUUUCCACCGUGUUGUAGCUCCAGCCAGCAUAAACACCAGUGCAUGUGUCGCUUGACCUUUGUGCUCAGGCAGUGUGACAUUUCCAAAUAGCCUCCCCGUUCCCAAAUGGAGCUCCACGCCUGGAGUAAUGGACAUCUCAUCUAAGUUGCCUUAUUAGGUCCUCCACAGUCGCCCCAUCAGUCCCUGGCAGUCUGGUCCCUGGAGCAGCAGUCCCUGGAGAAGCUGUCCCUGGAGCAGCUGGCCCUGGCAAAGUUAUUACUUCACUGUUGACCCCUGACUGACUGGCCCUCGGCACACACAUCCCUGGAUCUCCUGCCACUGAAUCACCUGCCACUGGCAAUGUGGCCUCUUGAUUUCUCUCUCUGUCUCCUGUCAUGUCCCUUUCAACGCUCUUGAAAUCCACCUCAAUUUCUCCCUCAAUCUCUGUAAAAAUUACAGGUAAUGUUGC